RNAcentral lists this long non-coding RNA (589 nucleotides) under Mytilus galloprovincialis (Mediterranean mussel). The record is from RNAcentral. Lineage: Eukaryota; Metazoa; Mollusca; Bivalvia; Mytilida; Mytilidae.
UACAAAAUAGAUGGCCGAUGAUAAAGUGAAUAAGCGAACAAUUGAAAUUAAAUAUUUGCUUAAUUGUAUAUCCGUGAAUUCUAUUUUGUUACUCUGGCCGAAGGUGACACUUGCUUCUAAUAAGAACGUCGUACUUUUUUUACAUUUACAUGUUUUGUUAAUGCAUGUUCCUUUGCGUAUGCAUUUCUUUUGUAAAGUUCAUAAAUAUUCUAAAACAAUUGUCCUCCCACAUUAUGUUUACUUCCGAUAACUUCAAUUUCAAUGAGCAUACUGAGCUGCAAUUAAUAAAUUACCGGCCUGCAAAAUACAGGAGAUUAACAGAUCAAAUAAGCGUGAUCUUUUUAAAUAGUUAAAAUAUUAAGUUUUUAUGUCAAAUGCUGUUGAACUUUUUAUAUUAAUUGGAGAUAUAAGUCAUGUUGAUCUGUUAUAUACAUUUGUAUCUAAUAAGCUUGACCAACUUCUUAAUAUCAGUCAGACCGUACGCGUACGGUCCGACCGUAUGCGUAUUUUGAAAAAGUACGCAUACAGUCCAGACCGUACGCGUACGGUCCAAAUACUCAUACGGUCUGGAACAUAUACAUUAGACAUU